Molecule: ribosomal RNA, 470 nt
Filed under: uncultured bacterium
Lineage: Bacteria
Description: bacterial SSU rRNA
Rfam family: Bacterial small subunit ribosomal RNA
Source: RNAcentral
GGACCCGCACAAGCGGUGGAGCAUGUGGUUUAAUUCGACGCAACGCGAAGAACCUUACCAGGGCUUGACAUCCCCCGCAACUUCUGGAAACAGAGGGUUUUGUCCUUCGGGACGAACGGGGAGACAGGUGGUGCAUGGUUGUCGUCAGCUCGUGUCGUGAGAUGUUGGGUUAAGUCCCGCAACGAGCGCAACCCCUACUUUUAGUUGCCAGCAUUUAGUUGGGCACUCUAAAGGAACUGCCGGUGACAAACCGGAGGAAGGUGGGGAUGACGUCAAAUCAUCAUGCCCUUUAUGUCCUGGGCUACACACGUGCUACAAUGGCCGAUACAGAGGGCGGCGAAGGAGUGAUCCGGAGCUAAUCCCAUAAAGUCGGUCUCAGUUCGGAUUGUAGUCUGCAACUCGACUACAUGAAGUCGGAAUCGCUAGUAAUCGCGAGUCAGCAUAUCGCGGUGAAUACGUUCCCGGGUCUU